RNAcentral lists this long non-coding RNA (352 nucleotides) under Setaria italica (foxtail millet). RNAcentral describes it as "long non-coding RNA (SITA_LNC006507)". Lineage: Eukaryota; Viridiplantae; Streptophyta; Magnoliopsida; Poales; Poaceae. The record is from RNAcentral.
ACAUGAUGCUCGCUCACAUCUAAUACCUCGACAGCUCCUUGUUGCAAACCGAUCCACUAUGCUUCUGCUUCCAGUGAUUCUCGAAUAAGCUUCUCUGUGAGCUCUCUUGGAAGACCUCGAACGCUAUCCGCCGUACCGACAUGGGCAAUCAAUCAGGAAAUUACAAAGAGGACAGAACAAAGGACCGAAUUCACUGUUGUUCUGCAUCUGCAAAAUAAGCACGGUGUGCUCUUUUUUUUUGUGAGAUACAAAAUAUGAGCAAUUGCUCACCAAUUCUUUGAUGAAUGGCAGCACUGACGGAUGUGUCAGCUUAAGCCCUCCGGCGACGCAGGUCAUGUCGCCUUGAUUAACC